RNAcentral lists this ribosomal RNA (415 nucleotides) under uncultured bacterium. RNAcentral describes it as "bacterial SSU rRNA". It matches the Rfam family "Bacterial small subunit ribosomal RNA", at positions 355 to 787 of the family's 1533-position model. The record is from RNAcentral.
UGGGGGAUAUUGCACAAUGGGGGAAACCCUGAUGCAGCGACGCCGCGUGAGGGAAGAAGGUUUUCGGAUUGUAAACCUCUGUCUUCGGUGACGAAACAAGACGGUAGCCGAGGAGGAAGCCACGGCUAACUACGUGCCAGCAGCCGCGGUAAUACGUAGGUGGCAAGCGUUGUCCGGAAUUACUGGGUGUAAAGGGAGCGUAGGCGGGAGUGCAAGUUGAAUGUGAAAACUAUGGGCUCAACCCAUAGUUGCGUUCAAAACUGCAUUUCUUGAGUGAAGUAGAGGUAAGCGGAAUUCCUAGUGUAGCGGUGAAAUGCGUAAAUAUUAGGAGGAACGCCAGUGGCGAAGGCGGCUUACUGGGCUUUAACUGACGCUGAGGCGCGAAAGCGUGGGGAGCAAACAGGAUUAGAUACCC